GAUCAUGGCUCAGAAUCAACGCUGGCGGCGUGCCUCAGACAUGCAAGUCGAACGAUUAAACUUUCCUUCGGGAAAGAUAUAAAGUGGCGCACGGGUGAGUAACACGUAGGUAAUCUACCUUUGAGUGGGGAAUAACAAUCGGAGACGAUUGCUAAUACCGCAUAAUGCAGCGGCACCGCAAGGUGACAGUUGUUAAAGGAGCAAUCCGCUUAAAGAGGAGCCUGCGGCAGAUUAG
RNAcentral lists this ribosomal RNA (235 nucleotides) under uncultured bacterium. Its description in RNAcentral is "partial 16S ribosomal RNA". It matches the Rfam family "Bacterial small subunit ribosomal RNA", at positions 15 to 244 of the family's 1533-position model. The record is from RNAcentral.